ACUUAUGCCAGUCACCUGGAAAAGGAGGGAGAAAAUGCCUGGAUUAGCUGCCUACAAAACGCAGUGGAACACUGAACCAGUCCCUCCAGGAGGACAGUGUCAAAUCUUGCAUUGAUAUCAUGCAGAUUCAGCUCGCAUUCAGAAGUGGCUGUCUGAUAGAAUAGCUCCAAGGAAGAUGUGAUCUCCACAGCCAUUGUAAGAGAGGAAGCAAUUCUGAAGAAAGGUGAUAAUUGAAAUUUAUUUUUUCAUCCCAAGUCCCGCUUUCACGUCUCGUUGUACCUAUACUCCUUGCAGUUGGCUGGAUAGUGGGUUGUGCCCUAAUGGUUUACAUUGUCUUCUCUUGAUGGAAGACAGAAGAAUUUACAAUUAUGUUGAUUAGAAGAACCUGGAAGUUAAAUUGAAAAUUUUAAUUACUAAAAUAUGUAUGAAAUGAGUUAUUUUUAAUAUCAAUGCUGUAAACAUGGUGUACAGUUUUUAUCCACAACAAAGGUGUGAAAUGCUAAUUAGAGCAUUAGGAAGAAUCAUCAAACCAAUUUCCCAGUUUUCCAAUGGUUUGUAAUUGAGCGAGUAGUUUUUGGAGUCCAGUGGUAGGUCAGAUACCUGCCUGUUCUGCAGCCUGCGUUGUUGUCGCCACCUUGAAUUUAAGCAGUUUUGGAAACAGUAUUCCUAGAGUUAGUGACACAGUGGUGGACAAAAAAGUGAGUUAAGUUCAUCUGUGAGAUGUGCUGAGCUGGGGAAGAAGUAUCUCAAUGUAUCUGGGAAAGUUUUAAGUGAGUUAAGACUUUUUUUAAGUUUUGUAGUGAAAAAUAAAUUAUUAAAUUUAAAAUGU
Molecule: long non-coding RNA, 829 nt
Organism: Pygoscelis adeliae (Adelie penguin)
Lineage: Eukaryota; Metazoa; Chordata; Aves; Sphenisciformes; Spheniscidae
Exons: 4
Source: RefSeq, a predicted model, not a curated record